GACGAACGCUGGCGGCGUGCUUAACGCAUGCAAGUCGAACGGAAAGGCACUGCUUUUGUGGGGUGCUCGAGUGGCGAACGGGUGAGUAACACGUGAGUAACCUGCCCUUGACUUUGGGAUAACUUCAGGAAACUGGGGCUAAUACCGGAUAGGAGCUCCUGCUGCAUGGUGGGGGUUGGAAAGUUUCGGCGGUUGGGGAUGGACUCGCGGCUUAUCAGCUUGUUGGUGGGGUAGUGGCAUACCAAGGCUUUGACGGGUAGCCGGCCUGAGAGGGUGACCGGCCACAUUGGGACUAAGAUACGGCCCAGACUCCUACGGGAGGCAGCAGUGGGGAAUAUUGCACAAUGGGCGGAAGCCUGAUGCAGCAACGCCGCGUGCGGGAUGACGGCCUUCGGGUUGUAAACCGCUUUCGCCUGUGACGAAGCGUGAGUGACGGUAAUGGGUAAAGAAGCACCGGCUAACUACGUG
This 468-nucleotide ribosomal RNA is filed under the name uncultured bacterium. RNAcentral describes it as "partial 16S ribosomal RNA". It matches the Rfam family "Bacterial small subunit ribosomal RNA", at positions 28 to 507 of the family's 1533-position model. The record is from RNAcentral.